GGGGGUGGCCGCGGGGCCCCAGGCGCCCGGCCGCCCGCCCGCUCCCGGCGGAAGGAGGCGGAGAGGCGCGAGUCGGGGGCAGCGGCGGCGGCGAGCACCCGGCGAGCGAAAAGGGGCCGGGCGGGAGCACCCCGGGUCCCAGCCGGGCGCCGCGAGAGGGCGCUGCUGCCGGCGCGGCGGGGACGGGGAGCCGGACGGGGCAAGGAGGGCUGGGCCGGGAGGCGCGGAGCCCACGCCGCGCCCGUGCGCGCCCGCUACUUACCCACGGAGCAGUGUUUGGAUGCCUGCCACUCCAGCAGUGUCUGCCACAUGGACUGACAGCCUUCACAUUGCUGAACGCUGAGUGAGGAUCAGCACCAGGCCUCAGGAGUUCAGGAACUUCUAACCAGACCUAGAUGACCUGCAUGGCUGUUUGGUUCUUGCUGGAGUCCUGGACCCUUCCGUCCUCGAACCUUGGGCCCCAACUGAAAACAAGGAGAAGCCGAAGCAGAUCAGAGAACAGAAGAGAAGCUAAUCCAAGGAGGCACAUAAGAAGGUGUAGAAUUUAAAGCAAAUCUCUUCUUUGUCUUAUCUUCACAAAAUAACAGCCUUUGGUUUGUUUAUAUGUUUGAAGUUAACCUUAGAUUGUACAAUGCUAGACCAAGUAAGGAAAUUGAGGCAAGAUUGAUGAAGUCUUGAAUGGCAGGCUUAUAAAGCUGCACCUUUUCCACCAGUCUAAAGGGAACAGCUGGUGCCAGUGUUGGAGCACUGCUGAUUAAGCCUCCACUGGCAAUGCCAGCAUCCAUAGCAGAGUGCCAGUUCAAGACCUGGCUGCUCUGCUUCUGAGUCGGCUUCCUGCUAAUGUGACUGGGAAGGCAGCAGAAGAUAGCCCAAGUACUUGGGCUUCUGCUACCCAUGUGGAAGACACAGAUGGAGGUCCUGGCUCCUGGCUUCAGCAUGGCCUAGUCCUGACUAUUGCAGCUAUUUGGGAGUGAACCAGCAGGUAAAAGAUCUCUCUUUCUCUCUUUGACAUUCUGCUCUUUAAAAUAUGUGCAUACAUACAUACAUAAAUUUUAAAACAAGAAAAAACAUCCUACAUCAGAGUAGCCUGGGUUCAAUUCCCAGCUCCUGUUCCUGAUACUGGCUUCUUGCUAAUGCCUACUUUGUGAGGCAGUGGUGAUGGCUCUAGUAAUUGGGUUCCUGCCACCCACAUGGGAGACCAGCAUUGAAUUUCUGGCCCAGUCCCAGAUGCUGUGGGCAUUUGGAGAAUGAACCAGUAAAUGGAAGGUCGGUUGGUCGCUCUCUCUCUCUCUCUCUCUCUCUCUCUGCCUUUCAAAUAAAGAAAUUUUUAUGAAGAUAUAUUUAUUUUAUUUGAAAGACAUAGCUACAGAGAGAGGAGAGACCAUGAGAGAGAGAGAUUCUAUCAACUGUUUCACUCCCCAAAUGGCUACAAUGGCCAGGGCUGGGCCAGGCCAAACCUGGGAGCCCAAGCACUGGGGCCAUCUUUUGCUGCUCUCUCAGGCUCAUUAGCAGGGAGCUGGAUUGGAAAUGAAGCAGCCUGCUGGUGUUGCAGGCAGCGGCUUAACCUGCUACACCACAACACUGGCCCCAGAAAUUUAUAAAAAUGCUAUGUAUUAAAUUUAAAAAUUCACAAAGACGAGUUGUGAUAUUUUCCCUGCAUCUCAGUAGCUCAUCUUGGCCCCAACCCCAGCCCAAAGAGCACACACACUUCAUACAUAGUUCCAUCAUGCUCUUCGCCAAUCUAUCACAUUGUACUGUAACUGCUUCAGUACCCUAAUUUGCUGUUGUAUCUGUACAGUGCCUGACACAAAAAUACCUGUUGAAUUCACUAAUAUAACAUUAGAAAUCAUUUUUAAAAAACCAAUAGUUUAAUUUCCCAUACUUUUCCCAGUAGUGGCAGAUUGCAGAAAUUGGUGUUUUGCUGGGCUUAACUGAAAAACUGCAGUGUAAAAGCCAAGGGAGGCCGGCACUGCGGCUCACUAGGCUAAUCCUCCGCCUUGCGGCGGCCGGCAUACCAGAUUCUAGUCCUGGUCGGGGCGCCGGAUUCUGUCCUAGUUGCCCCUCUUCCAGGCCAGCUCUCUGCUGUGGCCAGGGAAGUGCAGUGGAGGAUGGCCCAAGUCCUUGGGCCCUGCACCCCAUGGGAGACCAGGAGAAGUACCUGGCUCCUGCCAUCGGAUCAGCGCAGUGCACUGGCCGCAGCGUGCCAGCCACAGCGGCCACUGGAGGCUGAACCAACGGCAAAGAAAGACCUUUCUCUCUGUCUCUCUCUCUCACUGUCCACUCUGCCUGUCAAAAAAAAAAAAAAAAAAAAAAGCCAAGGGAAUGACUUCCUUCCAUUGAAACUGCCCCUGCACUCAUGCUUAUUUAGAUUUUCCCUUCUGUCAGUCUCAGAUUGAUGCCUUCAGGCACAAAAGAAUGACAAUCCAAUCCAUACUCUGGAGCUAUUUUAAAAACCCAGAUCUGGGUUUGUUUUUUAAAUGAAGUAUUUGGGUAUUACUGCUUCAGCUAGGACUGGGUCAUUAAUUUGCAAAUGUGGAAGUCUUUUCCCAAACAAGUCAAAAGCCCAGUUAUUCAAGCGGUUCUGGAAUCAGAGAGAGGAAAAAAAAAUAGGAAUAUACAUUAAAUAGUCACAAUUCCCAUUUCUGAACAUUCUAUUCAGUUUGGGCAUUCAAGGCUCAGUGCUUUUCCUUAUGAGAAUUAUCUGACUGUGAAAUGCUUAUGGAAAACAGAAUCGUUAAGAAACACUGUUCUGUUGUGGCUCUCCAGGAUGCUCCUUGUAGUUGUUUGAGUUACACUGCUGAUGGCUCCUGAAAGGCGACAGUGCACUAAUGUGCUGGUGAUUCAGCGUAUGAGUUCUGGGAAGACACCUCUCCCUUUCCUCACUGCGUGUGUGCCCCAUGGAGAGGUGGCUGAGUAUGUGCCGACCCUGUGUGGGGCUCUACAGUGUCAUGUCCCCGCCUCCAGUCGAUCCCCCAAACAGCCUUUUGUGAAUUUGAUGAAAAGCGCGUUCUGAAAUAGGUCUAUAAAGCAUCUCGCCUGCG
Molecule: non-coding RNA, 3041 nt
Organism: Oryctolagus cuniculus (rabbit)
Lineage: Eukaryota; Metazoa; Chordata; Mammalia; Lagomorpha; Leporidae
Source: RefSeq, a predicted model, not a curated record